CACCGAGGUGAACAUCUCUACUGUGAACCAUGAAUGCUGUGCAAAACUCCAUGAAGAAUGAGGGAAGAAAGGAAGAUGAAAGAUGUACAGAAGCAAAACCCGCCUUGACUCUAAGACAAGUGAUAUGUCUGGUGGCGAUCGGCGGCACCAAACUCCUGAAUGGAAUGAUGUCUGGCUGGCCCGCGGUUUUGCCCAAGAUGCAGGAGGACCAAAGCAGGUUCACGGUGACGGACGAGGACGUGGCCUGGAUCA
Molecule: long non-coding RNA, 252 nt
Organism: Penaeus indicus
Lineage: Eukaryota; Metazoa; Arthropoda; Malacostraca; Decapoda; Penaeidae
Exons: 3
Source: RefSeq, a predicted model, not a curated record